GGAAGUAAAAGUCGUAACAAGGUUUCCCUAGGUGAACCCGCGGAAACAUCAUUAUUGCAGCCCGUCGAGUAGCGAGACCCAUGAACCGGUGACCCUAACGAGACGCGCGGCUUGGGGAGCGCGGCGCCGCCCUCUCUCUCAGGGGAUCACGCGGCGAACCAACCCCGGCGCGAUGGGUGCCAAGGAAUUGAGAUGGAAUGAGCGCGGCUCCCUCUAGGGAUGCCGGCGUGCUUUCGAAGCUUACAAGGCUCUCGACAAUGGAUAUCUCAGCUCUCGCAUCGAUGAAGAACGUUGCGAAAUGCGAUACUUGGUGUGAAUUACAGAGUCCCGUGAACCAUCGAGCCUUUGAAAGUAAGUUGUGCUCGAGGCCACUCGGCCCAGGGCAUGCCUGCCUAGGCAUCAAGCACCGUGCUGCCCCACUCGAUGUUCGCCCCAUCCGGCGGCGGCACCGCUAAGUGGAGAUUAGCCACCCAUCCGCCCCGCGCGCCCGGCAGGCUGAAAAGCAUUCGCUCCCCCGCAGAGGCGCGGACUUAGCGGUAGGUGGUUUGAGAGGCGGCAGCCUCGUCGGAGCUCGGAUGUCGAGCCCAUCACCCCGUGCCUGGGGACAAGCAGAGCGAAGUGGCACCUAGCUCGGCUACCCCGCGCAGCCCUCACGUAGCGACCCAAGGUCAGGCGGGGACACCCGCUGAGUUUAAGCAUAUCAAUAAGCGGAGGA
This 715-nucleotide ribosomal RNA is filed under the name Magnolia chapensis. RNAcentral's name for it is "eukaryotic LSU rRNA". The stretch from base 247 to 402 matches the Rfam family "5.8S ribosomal RNA". The record is from RNAcentral. Lineage: Eukaryota; Viridiplantae; Streptophyta; Magnoliopsida; Magnoliales; Magnoliaceae.